GCUGGCGGCGUGCCUAAUACAUGCAAGUCGAGCGAGCUGAAUUCAAAGAUUCCUUCGGGAUGAUUUGUUGGACGCUAGCGGCGGAUGGGUGAGUAACACGUGGGCAAUCUGCCCUAAAGACUGGGAUACCACUUGGAAACAGGUGCUAAUACCGGAUAACAACAUGAAUCGCAUGAUUCAAGUUUGAAAGGCGGCGUAAGCUGUCACUUUAGGAUGAGCCCGCGGCGCAUUAGCUAGUUGGUGGGGUAAAGGCCUACCAAGGCAAUGAUGCGUAGCCGAGUUGAGAGACUGAUCGGCCACAUUGGGACUGAGACACGGCCCAAACUCCUACGGGAGGCAGCAGUAGGGAAUCUUCCACAAUGGACGCAAGUCUGAUGGAGCAACGCCGCGUGAGUGAAGAAGGUUUUCGGAUCGUAAAGCUCUGUUGUUGGUGAAGAAGGAUAGAGGCAGUAACUGGUCUUUAUUUGACGGUAAUCAACCAGAAAGUCACGGCUAACUACGUGCCAGCAGCCGCGGUAAUACGUAGGUGGCAAGCGUUGUCCGGAUUUAUUGGGCGUAAAGCGAGCGCAGGCGGAAUGAUAAGUCUGAUGUGAAAGCCCACGGCUCAACCGUGGAACUGCAUCGGAAACUGUCAUUCUUGAGUGCAGAAGAGGAGAGUGGAAUUCCAUGUGUAGCGGUGGAAUGCGUAGAUAUAUGGAAGAACACCAGUGGCGAAGGCGGCUCUCUGGUCUGCAACUGACGCUGAGGCUCGAAAGCAUGGGUAGCGAACAGGAUUAGAUACCCUGGUAGUCCAUGCCGUAAACGAUGA
This 808-nucleotide ribosomal RNA is filed under the name Lactobacillus delbrueckii subsp. bulgaricus. RNAcentral describes it as "bacterial SSU rRNA". It matches the Rfam family "Bacterial small subunit ribosomal RNA", at positions 35 to 812 of the family's 1533-position model. The record is from RNAcentral. Lineage: Bacteria; Bacillati; Bacillota; Bacilli; Lactobacillales; Lactobacillaceae.